UGUAUAUAAUGAUUUAUUUUUAAGAAAAUUCCGUAGCAACGCGCGGAAAAUUCACCUAGUUCUAUAUAUGAAAGUGGGGCAAUUAGGGGUUCACAAAAAAAAUUACGGGCAUAAAUUCAUAUACGCGCUUGAUAAUAUUAAAUUCUCUAUGUAACUGUAAUAUGAAGUUGCUCUAUCAAGCUCUUAAAACAUCGAGACAGAUGCUUGACUAUAAAAACACU
This 221-nucleotide long non-coding RNA is filed under the name Sorghum bicolor (sorghum). RNAcentral's name for it is "long non-coding RNA (SBIC_LNC018123)". Lineage: Eukaryota; Viridiplantae; Streptophyta; Magnoliopsida; Poales; Poaceae. The record is from RNAcentral.